UCUGUGGAGAUUUGGCUCAUAUAGCAAUUCUUUAAAUUGCACAGAAGUAUGAUAUAUGGUGUACUUCAGAAUAUAUCAUGUCUCUCCAAAUCCCUGCCAGCAUACUGGGGAUGAUUUCAAGGUAUGUCUGUAUGAGAAAAUCACUGCUGGCUCAGUGAUUAAGCGUCAAUGCCAAGUCCUGUGACUUUGGAUCUCAGCUUUCAUUGCUUCCAAAAGGCCUGAUUCUGCUCUGUUGUAUUGCCAGUGAUGCCCCUGAGAGGAGAAAUCAAGUCCAGGCUCAUACUUGGGCCAGAUGGCCUCUCAAACCAUCCCAAACCUGCAAUCUCACUGACAGGAGGCUGGAUCCACCUCAGAGUCACAUCACCUUUCAUCUUGCUGGAGUCACUCUGGUCUCAUGAAAAGUGUGGAGGGAGCAGAGCCAUCAGGAGCUGUGAUACAUGUCCUACCUGUGAACAGGCAAGAUGGAUCAAAGGGUGGCUGCAGCACCUGUAUCUCUGUGGGGUUCAGCACAGCAGAGUAAUUGAGACCUUGAGAUCCUACUGCCACAAGUAUGAACAGAAAUGAGGAAAAACUGGUAUUUUUUUAAACAAGGUACUUCAAAGCAAGGAAUUGCCUUCUAAAAAUAGUAGCCAGCACUUUGAGGAGUCAAUUGUGAUUUUAAGGUGUUAACUGCCCUUUGGUGCGUGAUUUGCUG
This 694-nucleotide long non-coding RNA is filed under the name Cyanistes caeruleus (blue tit). RNAcentral describes it as "lncRNA (ENSCCEG00000008646.1)". Lineage: Eukaryota; Metazoa; Chordata; Aves; Passeriformes; Paridae. The record is from RNAcentral.